Molecule: non-coding RNA, 91 nt
Organism: Amylocystis lapponica
Lineage: Eukaryota; Fungi; Basidiomycota; Agaricomycetes; Polyporales; Postiaceae
Source: the annotation of a GenBank genome assembly
GCCUGCCUAGCUCAAUCGGAUAGAGCGUCAGACUUUUACGCUCAUAUGGGUGGCCAUCUGAAGGCUGCGGGUUCGACCCCCGCGGUGGGCU